Molecule: unclassified non-coding RNA, 322 nt
Filed under: soil metagenome
Description: partial contains 5.8S ribosomal RNA, internal transcribed spacer 2, and large subunit ribosomal RNA
Rfam family: 5.8S ribosomal RNA (bases 1-120)
Source: RNAcentral
GAUGAAGAACGUAGCGAAAUGCGAUAAGUAAUGUGAAUUGCAGAAUUCAGUGAAUCAUCGAAUCUUUGAACGCACAUUGCGCCCUUUGGCAUUCCGAAGGGCACACCUGUCCGAGCGCCGUCGCACAACUGAGGCGCAGCCUUGCGUUGGCGGGCGACUUGUGAGUAGCGAGUCGCAGCCCAAACGAGACGGCGCCGCGCCGCGGCCGACGAAGCACGAAAGCGGAAGUCGACGCGGAGGCGGUUGCCUGUAGGAAGACACAGCUUGGCCUCGGAUCAGGUGGGGAUACCCGCUGAACUUAAGCAUAUCAAUAAGCGGAGGA